AGUGAACGCUGGCGGCGUGCCUAACACAUGCAAGUCGAACGAUGAUUGAGAGCUUGCUCUCAUGAUUAGUGGCGCACGGGUGAGUAUACCAUAGAUAAUGUACCUCUUAGUUCGGGAUAGCCACUGGAAACGGUGAUUAAUACCGGAUACUCCUUCUUGUCUCAAGGCAAGUCGGGAAAGUUUUUUCGCUAAGAGAUCAGUCUAUGUCCUAUCAGCUAGUUGGUGAGGUAAUGGCUCACCAAGGCAAUGACGGGUAUCUGGUUUGAGAGGAUGAUCAGACACACUGGAACUGAGACACGGUCCAGACUCCUACGUGAGGCAGCAGUGAGGAAUAUUGCACAAUGGAGGAAACUCUGAUGCAGCAACGCCGCGUGGAGGAUGACGCAUUUCGGUGUGUAAACGCCUUUUAAGAGGGAAGAUAAUGACGGUACCUCUUGAAUAAGCACCGGCUAACUCCGUGCCAGCCGCCGCAGUAA
Molecule: ribosomal RNA, 476 nt
Filed under: uncultured bacterium
Lineage: Bacteria
Description: partial 16S ribosomal RNA
Rfam family: Bacterial small subunit ribosomal RNA
Source: RNAcentral